This 73-nucleotide transfer RNA is filed under the name Gloeothece citriformis PCC 7424. RNAcentral's name for it is "Cyanothece sp. PCC 7424 tRNA". It matches the Rfam family "tRNA". Rfam says of the family: Transfer RNA (tRNA) molecules are approximately 80 nucleotides in length. Their secondary structure includes four short double-helical elements and three loops (D, anti-codon, and T loops). Further hydrogen bonds mediate the characteristic L-shaped molecular structure. tRNAs have two regions of fundamental functional importance: the anti-codon, which is responsible for specific mRNA codon recognition, and the 3' end, to which the tRNAs corresponding amino acid is attached (by aminoacyl-tRNA synthetases). tRNAs cope with the degeneracy of the genetic code in two manners: having more than one tRNA (with a specific anti-codon) for a particular amino acid; and 'wobble' base-pairing, i.e. permitting non-standard base-pairing at the 3rd anti-codon position. The record is from Rfam by way of RNAcentral. Lineage: Bacteria; Bacillati; Cyanobacteriota; Cyanophyceae; Chroococcales; Aphanothecaceae.
CGGAAGUUAGCUCAUUUGGUAGAGCGAUGGGUGUAUCCCCCAUAGGGAAUAGGUUCAAAUCCUAUACUUUCAA